UUUUGUAAUUUCAAAAAAAUAACAAAAAAAAUCUCUUCUUAAAUUAUUCUCAAUCAGUUUGUAAUCACUUUGGCAACAUCUUUAAUUCACCAACUAUCAGCUAAUGCAUUGCGUUUCGAAUGGUAUACUUCGAUGUUCCUUUUAAAUCCUUCCUUAAUCUUCCUAAUUUGUUCUCAGGGGGGAUUUAACGAAAACUCCCGAAAUUUCCCUCAGGACUACCGACUCUUCUAUAUAAUCCGACUUGCUAAUGGAAUGUUGUACAAUCUACUGAUUCUGACUCUUACCGAUAGACGCUUGUUGGAUGGAGAGAGAGAACGGUCCCCAUUUGUAGCCUCCCACUUGCAUUUUCUCCCUUCUAGACAUGCAGAGAUGUGACUAAUUAGCGCCAGAACCCCUCUUGCAAUCAAUGAAGGUGUUUGUCUCUUACGUACUCUUUAUGUAUCCACACGCAUUCCGUCAAGAACGUUCUUUUCAGAAAACCUUUAAAACUUUUGCCACCGGUACAAAAUUGUGCUAAUUGACAAAACGCAUUCCUGUCGAGUUAAGCCCCUUUAAAAUUAAAAAACAGAGCGACUCUUUCCUAAAUUAUAUAUUAAUUAAUAUGGCAGAAAAGUUAGUUGAGCGCGAUGAUCUCGUACAUUACUUGGAUUCCUGAGAGGAAAAUGAAUAUUUAUCAGACAUCCGAAGAGAAUCCACAAACAUGCGAGCAGAAAAAGGAUGAAAAAAAAUUAGUUUAUGUUGUUAUUAUUUUAUGUUUAAUCUGGAUUGAGAUAACCAUCGGCACGUCCUGUAAUUUUUAGUUUAAAUUAAUAAGUUUCUGGGCGAUUAUAGUUAUUAAGCACAAGAGAUUCUAAAGUUGAAUUGUGCAGUUUGAAAAAUGAACAGUAAAUUUCGAUUAAAGGUUUAUAAAAGUCGAAUUUAAUCUCGGGAAACUUGGAGUAAAGAAGAAAAAAAACCAGUCUCAUUACCAAUCAUCGAAGUGACUGAAAAUUGGGAGGAGGACACACCUAUUUUGUGGCAUCGAAAAUGGGGGGAGCGCUAAGUUUAAUCUUGUCCGGGAGGGAACUGGUAUUGAGUGACAGGUCUGAUGGAAGUAAGGAAGGCAUGCUGUUUAUCACAUAAAUUGGUAGGAAAGCUUAAUAAAUACUGCAGGCAGGUGUCGUCGUCUUAUUCAGCCUGCCAAAAGGUGAGAUUUUUCCCACUUUACUACAAGAUAUUUCAGAUUUUUAUUAUUUUACGAUUGAAAGUAGUUGUAUGUGUGUCUGCACCGAUUGCUAUAGAGGUCUUCUUAUCGGCGAAUACGCCCAUGACUGCACAUUUUUUAUUUUCCUUUAAAAAAACUUUCUUGGAAAAAAUAUUUACGAGUUUUAUCAUAAAAAUCUCUUCUCGUCAGUUUAGAAUUAACUGUAACCCACCGAGAGGAAAGUUGGGUUUCAGUUUUAUCUGGUUGGAAAAAAUCUAAGCUUAUAAAUGGAGAAGUAUAGCAACAAACUUCUGACAUUUGUUAAAUUAACCCAGUGAGAACAGAAGCUUGAUGAUUCUCAUGCUGAUACUGAGAAAUGUCCAUAGAUGAUGAAAGGAUUUGCGUCACUUCCCGCGAAAUCUGUCAUGUAUAAAAUCGGUAUAACGCAAAUUAGCAAACCCAGACGACACCCUUUGGUGUAUAUAUCUCCCCCCUCGUCUCUUACUAAACUCACCCUCCUGCGGUCCCGUUCUGGUGUAAAUUGGUUAUCUGCUCGUUACGUCCUUAACAUCAGAUGGUGCGUUGACGAUUAACUUAUUUCCAGAUGAUAUAUCACGUGACUACCACAGAGCAACAGCAUGCAACGUCAAUUAACGAAUAAAGUUGCCCGCGGUUAUCCUAUAAGUCAAUAAUUUGCGAAUAAUUUUUCAUUAAACGCUUGAAAUAUUCGAAUAUGUCAAAAGCGAUUGAACGUUGUAAAGAUGAAUGGCUGUUUUAUUUCUAUCUUUUGAAAAAAAACUGCAAAAUCGCUCUAAAUACUUUUAUUGCAUCGCUACAGUAUUUUAUAUCGCGGCUAUAAUGGAAAGAUAUACACGGAAAAGCGAAAAAAAUUCGUGGCUAAUAGAAAGGAGAUACACACAAAAACCUAUUUAGAUAAAUUCUUCUGGUAGAGAGAAAUUGGAGAUAGAUAUUGAAUGCAUGUCAGUCUCCUUAUCUAUGCCGAAUCUGAC
This 2193-nucleotide long non-coding RNA is filed under the name Androctonus crassicauda. The record is from RNAcentral. Lineage: Eukaryota; Metazoa; Arthropoda; Arachnida; Scorpiones; Buthidae.